RNAcentral lists this ribosomal RNA (4216 nucleotides) under Torulaspora delbrueckii. RNAcentral's name for it is "large subunit ribosomal RNA". The stretch from base 125 to 1867 matches the Rfam family "Bacterial large subunit ribosomal RNA", at positions 15 to 2044 of the family's 2925-position model. Lineage: Eukaryota; Fungi; Ascomycota; Saccharomycetes; Saccharomycetales; Saccharomycetaceae. The record is from RNAcentral.
AGUAAUGAAUAAUAGAUUUGAAAUAUUUAUUAUAUAGAUUUAAAGAAAUAAUCAUAGAAUACAUAAGUUAUUAAUAGUUAUUAGGUUACUAAUAAAUAAAUAAAUAAAUUUAUUUUAAUACCUAAGGUAAACCAUAAAAAAUUAUUUAAAUAAAUAAUUAUUAUAAAUAUACUAAGUGAACUGAAACAUCUAAGUAACUUAAGGAUAAAAAAUCAACCGAGAUAUUAUGAGUAUUGGUGAGAGAAAAUAAUAUAGUUAAUAAUCCAUAUCGCCUACACCCUUUAGGGUGUUGGAUAGGUAGGAUUAUAUAUAAGUAUUAUGUAAUAUAAUUAUGUAAGAAUAUAGGACAAACUAGUUCUAAAACUAAAUACUAUUAAUAAACAAAAUAAGUACCGAAAGGGAAAGUAUGUAAGUGGUUAUUUUAUAAGUAAUCAUAGAUAUAAAUUUUAUAUUAAUGAUGUACCUUUUGUAUAAUGGGUCAGCAAGUAAUUAAUAUUAGCAAAAUCAAUAAAAUUAUAAAAAAAUUGAUAAUAUUUCCUUUUUUAUAUUGGAUAAUUAAGUUAAUAUUAAUUGACCCGAAAGCAAAUGAUCUUACUAUGACCAGACGGUUAAACGGUCGAACAGGUUGAUGUUGCAAUAUCAUCUGAUGAGUUGUGGUAAGUAGUGAAAGACAAAUCUGAUUUGCAGAUAGCUGGUUUUCUACGAAAUAUAUGUUAGUAUAGCUUUUAUAAUAAUAAUUAUUAUAAUCCAACGGAUUAUAAAGAACGGUACAGCAACAAAUAUAUUUAGGGGAACUAUUGUAGUUUUAUCAAAAAUAUUUGAUCUCGAAAUGUUUAAUUAUGAUUAUAAGAAGUCAGAUUAUGUGCGAUAAGGUAAAUAAUCUAAAGGGAAACAGCCCAGAUUAAUAUAUAAGGUUCCUAAUUACAUGAAAUAAUAAGUGAAAUAAAUAUUAAAAUAUUAUAAUACAAUCAGUUAAUGGAUUUGACAAUAACCAUUUUUUAAUGAACAUGUAACAAUGCACUGAUCUAUAUAUAAUCUUUUUAAUAAGAUUAUUAUUAUAUAAUAUUAUAAAUUUUUCUUUAUAAAAAAAGAAAAUUAAUAAACAAUAUACGGAUCUUUUACAAAUAAAAAUUAUUUAACCGAAUAUUUAAAUAUUAUUAUUAAUUUAAAUAAUAAUAAUAUGGUAGUAGAACAUUUAAUGAAAAAAUAUAUUAAUUCUUAAUUAAUAUAUAAUAAAAUAUAUAAAUAUAUUUUUAAUAAUUUUGUAUUUUUGUAUAAAAUACAAAAUGAUGAAAUAGUAAUUAAAUAGAGAAUGCUGACAUGAGUAACGAAAAAAAGGUUAAACCUUUUCACCUAAAACAUAAGGUUUUACUAUAAAAGUACGGCCCUUAAUUAAAUUAUAUAAAUAUAAUCUAAGAUAGGAUAAUUCUAAAUUAAAUAUUACAUCUUUUAUUUAUCAAAAAAUUAUAAAAGAUCAAGAAAUACUUUUAAUUUAUACCGUAAUGUAUACCGACUCAGGUAUGUUAGUAGAGAAUAUUAAGGUGAAUUAGAUAAUUAAAGGGAAGGAACUCGGCAAAAAUAGCUCUAACGUUAGUCAAUAAAGAGAUAAUUAAAAACAAGGUUGUACAACUGUUUAAUAAAAACACCGCACUUUGCAUAAACGAUAAGUUAACGUAUAAGGUGUGAACUCUGCUCCAUGCUUAACAUAUAAAUAAUAUUAUUUAAUGAUAAUAUUAUUAAAUUUAAGUAAAUAGCAGCCUUAUUAUGAGGGUUCUAAGGUAGCGAAAUUCAUUGUCCAAUAAUUAUGGUCCUGCAUGAAUGACGUAAUGAUACAACAACUGUCUCCCCUUUAAGCUAAGUGAAAUUAAAAUCGCAGUGAAGAUGCUGUGUACCUAUAGUGUGACGGAAAGACCCUAUGCAGCUUUACUGUAAUUAGAUAGAUCGAAUUAUUGUAUAUUAUAUUCAGAAUAUUAAGUAAUUGAUUAAAUUUAAAUGAGAUACUUAUUAUAAUAAUAUAAUAAUUCUAAUCUUAAUAAAACCUUUUAUAAGGUUAUUUAAUAGAUAUUAUUCUUAAAUAAAAUAUUAUAUAUUAUGUAUAUAUUAUAUAUAUAUAUAAUUAAUAUAUAAUAUAAUAAUAAGAGACAAUCUCUAAUUGGUAGUUUUGAUGGGGCGUCAUUUUCAGCAAUAAUAUCUGAAUAAGUCUAUAUAUAAAUUAUAAUAUUAUUUAAAAAAUAAAAAUAUAUAUUAUAUAUAUUAAUUAUAAAUAGGAAUAUAUUUCUUUAAAGAAAAUUUUAUUUUUUUUUAAAGUUAUAUAUUUUAGUAAUAGAAAAAAUCAUGUAUAGUAAAAUUGUCUAGAAAACAAUAAUAAUAAUAUUAUUUCUAUUUAGUAGAAAUUUAUAUUAUAUAAUAAAAUGUAUUAAAUUAAUAUAAUGGUAUAACUAUGCAACAAUUAUAACACAAACAAGUGAAAUAAGUACGUAAGUAUGGCAUAAUGAACAAAUAACACUGAUUGUAAUGGUUAUUGAUAACGAAUAAAAGUUACGCUAGGGAUAAAUUACCCACUUGUCCCAUUAUAUUGAAAAAUAUAAUUAUUCAAUUAAUUAAUUAAUUAAUUGAAGUAAAUUGGGUGAAUUGCUUAGAUCUCCAUAUAAAUUAUAUGGACAAUAAGCAGCGAAGCUUAUAACAACUUUUAUAUAUGUAUAUAUACGGUUAUAAGAACGUUCAACGACUAGAUGAUGAGUGGAGUUAACAAUAAUUCAUCCACGAGCGCCCAAUGUCGAAUAAAUCAAAUAUAAAUAAAUAUCAAAAGAUAUAUAAAGAUUUUUAAUAAAUCAAAAAAUAAAUAAUAAUGAAAAAUAUUAAUAAAAAUCAAGUAAUAAAUUUAGGACCUUCCGUAGGAGGGUCCCCGCGGUGCGAGGACCUAAUUCUAAAUUAUUAAAAGAAUAUAAAUCACAAUUAAUUGAAUUAAAUACUGAACAAUUUGAAGCAGGUAUUGGUUUAAUUUUAGGAGAUGCUUAUAUUCGUAGUCGUGAUGAAGGUAAACUAUAUUGUAUGCAAUUUGAGUGAAAAAAUAAAGCUUAUAUUGAUCAUGUAUGUUUAUUAUAUGAUGAAUGAAUUUUAUCAUCUCCUCAUAAAAAAGAGAGAGUUAAUCAUUUAGGUAAUCUUGUAAUUACAUGAGGAGCUCAAACUUUUAAACAUCAAGCUUUUAAUAAAUUAGCUAACUUAUUUAUUGUGAAUAAUAAAAAACUAAUUUCUAAUAAUUUAGUUGAAAAUUAUUUAACACCUAGAAGUUUAGCUUAUUGAUUUAUAGAUGAUGGAGGUAAAUGAGAUUAUAAUAAAAAUUCUCUUAAUAAGAGUAUUGUAUUAAAUACACAAAGUUUUACUUUUGAAGAAGUAGAAUCUUUAGUAAAAGGUUUAAGAGAUAAAUAUCAAUUAAAUUGCUAUGUAAAAAUCAAUAAAAAUAAACCAAUUAUUUAUAUUGAUUCUCUAAGUUAUUUAAUUUUUUAUAAUUUAAUUAAACCUUAUUUAAUUCCUCAAAUGAUAUACAAAUUACCAACUUAACUUUUUAAAUUAAAAAUAAUAUUCUUUUUUCAUUUAUUUUUCAUAAAUAUUUGUUUAUAUUAAAUUUAUUUGAUAAUGAUAUAGUCUAAACAAUUUGGUAACAAAUUGAUAAAUAAAUAUGUAAUAAUAUUUAUAUAAUAAUAAUAAAUUGAACAGGGUAAUAUAGCGAAAGAGUAGAUAUUGUAAGCUAUGUUUGCCACCUCGAUGUCGACUCUACCUAUCCUCUUGGUUGUAAAUGCUAAGAAGGGUUUGACUGUUCGUCAAUUAAAAGGUAACGUGAGUUGGGUUAAAUACGAUGUAAAUCAGUAUGGUUCCUAUCUACUAUAGGUAAUAUUAUCAACUUAAGUCUUAUUCUUAGUACGCAAGGAUCAGAAUGAAUUAAUCCAUGGUGUAUCUAUUGAUUAUUUUAUAAUAUAUAUAUAUAUUUAUAUAUAUAUAUAUAUUAUCUAUAUUAAUUUAUAUUUAAUAUUAUAGUCACAGUAGAUAAGCUAAAUUAAUAAAUAAUAAGUAUUGAAAGCAUAUAAAAUACGAAGUUGUCUUAAGAUGAGAUAAUAAUCUGAUUAUUUUAGACUAAAAUAAUAUAAGUAUCUAAUCCUAUUUAUCUUUCAGAUAAGUAGGAAAUUCAGAUCAAUAAAAUAGGUUUUUUAUAUAUAUA